GACGAACGCUGGCGGCGUGCUUAACACAUGCAAGUCGAACGGAAAGGCCCUGCUUUUGUGGGGUGCUCGAGUGGCGAACGGGUGAGUAACACGUGAGUAACCUGCCCUUGACUUUGGGAUAACUUCAGGAAACUGGGGCUAAUACCGGAUAGGAGCUCCUGCUGCAUGGUGGGGGUUGGAAAGUUUCGGCGGUUGGGGAUGGACUCGCGGCUGAUCAGCUUGUUGGUGGGGGAGUGGUUUACCAAGGCUUUGACGGGUAGCCGGCCUGGGAGGGUGACCGGCCACAUUGGGACUGGGGUGCGGCCCAGACUCCUACGGGGGGCAGCGGUGGGGAAUAUUGCACAAUGGGCGGAAGCCUGAUGCAGCAACGCCGCGUGCGGGAUGACGGCCUUCGGGUUGUAAACCGCUUUCGCCUGUGACGAAGCGUGAGUGACGGUAAUGGGUAAAGAAGCACCGGCUAACUACGUG
RNAcentral lists this ribosomal RNA (468 nucleotides) under uncultured bacterium. Its description in RNAcentral is "partial 16S ribosomal RNA". It matches the Rfam family "Bacterial small subunit ribosomal RNA", at positions 28 to 507 of the family's 1533-position model. The record is from RNAcentral.